This 255-nucleotide ribosomal RNA is filed under the name uncultured bacterium. RNAcentral's name for it is "partial small subunit ribosomal RNA". It matches the Rfam family "Bacterial small subunit ribosomal RNA", at positions 26 to 286 of the family's 1533-position model. The record is from RNAcentral.
AGGACGAACGCUGGCGGCGUGCUUAACACAUGCAAGUCGAGCGGAAAGGCCCUUCGGGGUACUCGAGCGGCGAACGGGUGAGUAACACGUGAGCAAUCUGCCCUUAGCUUCGGGAUAGCCCCGGGAAACCGGGAUUAAUACCGGAUACGACCUAGGCCGACAUCGGCCAUGGUGGAAAGUUUUUCGGCUAGGGAUGGACUCGCGGCCUAUCAGCUAGUUGGUGGGGUAAAGGCCUACCAAGGCGACGACGGGUAG